CAUUUAUAGGUCACCAAUCGGA
Molecule: small nuclear RNA, 22 nt
Filed under: Arabidopsis thaliana (thale cress)
Lineage: Eukaryota; Viridiplantae; Streptophyta; Magnoliopsida; Brassicales; Brassicaceae
Description: snRNA_04831
Source: RNAcentral